GAUGAACGCUAGCUACAGGCUUAACACAUGCAAGUCGAGGGGUAACGAGAGGAAAGCUUGCUUUCCUUGUCGACGACCGGCGCACGGGUGAGUAACGCGUAUCCAACCUGCACCCAACUAGGGAAUAACCUUGCGAAAGUAAGACUAAUACCCUAUAAUUUCCUCAGAUGUCAUCUGACGAGGAAUAAAGAUUUAUCGGUUGUGGAUGGGGAUGCGUCGGAUUAGCUUGUUGGCGGGGUAACGGCCCACCAAGGCAACGAUCAGUAGGGGUUCUGAUAGGAAGGUCCCCCACAUUGGAACUGAGACACGGUCCAAACUCCUACGGGAGGCAGCAGUGAGGAAUAUUGGUCAAUGGGCGGAAGCCUGAACCAGCCAAGUAGCGUGCAGGAUGACGGCCCUAUGGGUUGUAAACUGCUUUUAUACAGGAAUAAAGUUAGCCACGUGUGGUUAUUUGUAGGUACUGUAUGAAUAAGGACCGGCUAAUUCCGUGCCAGCCGCCGCGGUAA
Molecule: ribosomal RNA, 506 nt
Filed under: uncultured bacterium
Lineage: Bacteria
Description: partial 16S ribosomal RNA
Rfam family: Bacterial small subunit ribosomal RNA
Source: RNAcentral